AGCUUUGUGCAGUGGCAGUAUCUUAGCCAAUGAGGUUUAUCCGAGGUGCAAUUAUUGUUAAUUGAUGAGUGUUAGAAAGAUAGACUGUGUGAAGUCUCUAGAGGAGAUACUUGUAAUUUAGGACUUGUAUGUACA
Molecule: non-coding RNA, 135 nt
Organism: Erinaceus europaeus (western European hedgehog)
Lineage: Eukaryota; Metazoa; Chordata; Mammalia; Eulipotyphla; Erinaceidae
Source: Rfam